ACAGUGCCUGUGAGCCACAACAACUCAUGUGAUGAUAUAAAUGAAUGUCUGUUCAGUCCAUCUGUAUGUGGUCCAAAUUCUAACUGCACAAAUCAGCUGGGAAGUUAUAAUUGCUCAUGUCUGGAUGGAUUCACUGCAACAAUUUCAAGUCUCCCCAUCAACAUCACUAACACAUGUAGAGAUGUGAAUGAAUGUCUUGAGAAACCAGAGGUCUGUGGUCCAAGCUCUCGUUGCACUAACACAAUUGGGGGUUAACAACUGUUCCUGCUUGAGUGGAUUUACUGUAACAAAUAGCAGUGAACCCGUCAGCGGCAGUAACCCAUGCAAUGUGACUCUACCUUUAACUGAAUAUCUGAUUGAAAUUCAGAUCAGUAACAUGGACAGUAAUAUCACUGAUCAGCUGAGGAACCUUCUGAUGUCUUUCAGUUUGCCCUACACAAUCAGUAACAGCACUAACAUUACAGAAAUCAACAUAACUACUGUGUGUUCUUUGAAUGAAACACAGUAUCAGUGUAAAUGUGAGGGUCUGUUUGUUUGGCCGAAUGACACGUGUCACUCAUACAAGACCUGUGAUGACACCACUGAUGGUUCAUGUACAUGUAUCAAUGCCCUUCCAAUCAACGGACAGUUCUGCCAAAGUG
Molecule: long non-coding RNA, 641 nt
Organism: Cyprinus carpio (common carp)
Lineage: Eukaryota; Metazoa; Chordata; Actinopteri; Cypriniformes; Cyprinidae
Exons: 5
Source: RefSeq, a predicted model, not a curated record